RNAcentral lists this ribosomal RNA (425 nucleotides) under uncultured bacterium. RNAcentral's name for it is "partial 16S ribosomal RNA". It matches the Rfam family "Bacterial small subunit ribosomal RNA", at positions 354 to 796 of the family's 1533-position model. The record is from RNAcentral.
GUAGGGAAUCUUGCGCAAUGGGCGAAAGCCUGACGCAGCCAUGCCGCGUGAAUGAUGAAGGUCUUAGGAUUGUAAAAUUCUUUCACCGGGGACGAUAAUGACGGUACCCGGAGAAGAAGCCCCGGCUAACUUCGUGCCAGCAGCCGCGGUAAUACGAAGGGGGCUAGCGUUGCUCGGAAUUACUGGGCGUAAAGGGAGCGUAGGCGGAUAGUUUAGUCAGAGGUGAAAGCCCAGGGCUCAACCGUGGAAUUGCCUUUGAUGCUGGCUAUCUUGAGUAUGGAAGAGGUAUGUGGAACUCCGAGUGUAGAGGUGAAAUUCGUAGAUAUUCGGAAGAACACCAGUGGCGAAGGCGACAUACUGGUCCAUUACUGACGCUGAGGCUCGAAAGCGUGGGGAGCAAACAGGAUUAGAUACCCGUGUAGUCC